This 2819-nucleotide unclassified non-coding RNA is filed under the name Schistocerca americana (American grasshopper). RNAcentral describes it as "protein hairless, transcript variant X2". The record is from RNAcentral. Lineage: Eukaryota; Metazoa; Arthropoda; Insecta; Orthoptera; Acrididae.
UGGUAUGUGGAAUGAACCAAAAAGUGUUGACGAGGAGGUGAGUGAAAUAUUUGUGCGCUUCGGCGUUAGGUUACUUGCCUUAUCGUUGAAGGAUGUAAAGUUAUACAUUUAUAUGAUGUGCCCUAGUUAGUUCUUUCGUAUACCGACAAAUUUCGUGUUUAGAUAUGGUACGAAAACAAUAAACAGAACGAUUUUCAUUCAUUCGCAGCAGGUGGAGGAAUGAACAUGGAGUAAAGAAGAAACAUUACUACAUACCAGACGAUGGAGCUGUGCUUCGUAGCAGCCCGACGUCGGGGCAGCUAUUAUUCUGUUUAUUUAAGGCCGAAGUGAUUACCGUAAUGUAGUGGAAUAAAAGAGAUGCGAGUGCAAGAAAAUUCAUUUGCAUCAUGUGCCAAAAUGACCGAGGAAAGAAGCGUGAAUGGAGGUCCAGAUAUUCCCAGUGGCAGCAAAAGAGGAUAUUCAGCCGGAGAUAUCGACGGAACCCAAAGUCCCAAUUCUUCAACCAGCGAAGCUGAUAAAUCUUGCGGUAUCGCAGGUGGUAGACUGAAAUUUUUUAAGGAUGGUAAAUUCAUAUUGGAAUUAUCACACCGAACUGAAGGAGAUCGAACGUCAUGGGUUCCAGUGCCCAAAAAAACAUACUGGCCUCCUCCUGCAACUACUGCUACUAGUACUGGUACUCCACGCCAGGAAAGCUCAACCUCACUUAGUGUGUCAGAUGACAACUCAUCUGUCCAGUCAUCACCUUGGCAGCGAGAUCACUGUUGGAAGCAGACCAACCCUCGGCAAGGCAUUGGUAAAGAAAUGACUUUUGUGAUGCAGUCAUUUCCACACAUGAGGCAUCUAAGGAGUCUUCAUUCUGUGUUUCACUGUAUACAAAAGAAGCGUAGAUGCCCUUACGUACCUAUAGAAGUGUCAGUGGAGAAUCACAGUGGUGUAAUAAGUGCACACGUAAGAGGUGGAAAGAAAGAGCGAAACAGAAUAAAAUUGUUGGAUAUAGUACAAACUUUAUUAGAUAGAGUGAAAGGCUCAAGUAGUAGUAAUGAAAGCACUGUUUGCUCUAAUGCAAGUGGGGCUAUUCCACCAAAUCACGUGCGGACAGUAACUGUAGCAACGGCAAGACUGGAUCCUAGCAUUAUAUCCCCUAGGAAGAGAAUACUUCGUGAAAUGGAGAGAGUUAGUCUUGAGGACAUGUCGAACUCUAAACGACAGCGAGCUCGUACCAGUAGUGCCUUGCCACAGAACAAUAACAAUGGUAGCAGUGGAAAUUGUACUGUUACGUGCCAAACUCUCCAACCUGGCAGUGCACUUCCGUCUCCUCCCCAGCCUAGUGUCAAAGGCAGUGUGAGUAAUUACAGUAUUACCUCGCUCCUGGGAAAUAGUCGAAAUGAAGACGUACCAACACCUGGACCUCAAGAUACAGACACAUCAUUCCUACGUACUCUCCUGAAGUCUUCAGCGCAACAGACUAGCAAUGUCGAACAGACUCCCAGACCCAAAGCGGCUUCAAAGCCUGCUGGAUCGAGGAAAUCGUCACCCACACAGCAGCAGCAGCAGUCACCUCAACAACUGCCACAAACGCAGCACUCCCAAAACCAGUCACCUACACAGCAGCAGCAGCAGCAGCAGCAGCUGUCGUCCCCAUCGCGGCUCAGCUCUCCUGCUCUCUCACCAUCACCAGAUAAUCUUCGCUCUGGACUUAGAAAUCCAGUUGUUCCGUCCAUUGGCAGCUCUGCACACCUCUCUCCAUUCCUUACACCUCCACUGAUAUAUCCACAGCUUUCAUCUCCCUUUUUACCUCAUCCUCCUCCGACAUUAAGUCAUCAUCCUUACUAUUCCAGCCCUCCACCUGUAUCUGCAUAUCGUGGAUCUCCAUCACCAGUUCCAACUUUGUGGGUACAAUACCCACUUUCUAGUCUUCCAAGGGGGGCAGUUCACUACGGACUAGUGGCUCCCUGCCAUGCACCACCUCUUAGUCCGUGCCAUUACAGCCCACUAACGCAACAACCACUGGAAGAGCUGAAGAAAGAAGAUAAUGGUUCAGAUGUUCCUCUGAAUUUGUCCAAACAUUCUGGCUGAAGACUGGCUGAUGUUGCCCACAGCUGAAAAACUGCUGUGCUGGAUAUAUGGACUCCUUAUGCAAGAUGGUUCCUACUUUCAUCCUGAAAAUCUCUACAAUAUUACUUGGAAGAACAAUACCCUCAGACAGCUCCAUAAAUGAGUCAUCAAGGGAUAUCUUCCUCUUGAAAUGCUGUUUUAUAUAGGGAAUCAUGGUCCUUAAAUGAUACUGUUUUGACAUUGCUGUUAAUAGUGUGGCAUUCUUUGUUAUAAGUCUGGUGAAGUGCUUCAUAUUUGUGAAUAAUUUUCCAACCAUGAGGGAGUGAUACCAGUUUGAGAUGUUAAUGAGAAAACUGAUUGCACACUUUUAAUGUAUGACACACACUGUUAAGAGUUUUAAAGAUCCUAUGAACUUUCAGGAUCUCACUUGUCAUUAUACACUAUCAUGGUUAACAAAAUUAAAGGACUCAAUGACAAGACAUCAAGUAUCUGGAAAGGCCUUAGUUAACAUGUUGACUGCCUCACAUAUAACGAUGGGGGUUUCACCACCAGGCCGGCCCAGGCAGUGUCAUCAGGCAUGAGGCUCUGCUGUGGCCAGCAUUGGCCUCGUGGCAGUCAGUGUGUUAUUAACAGGUCAUGAGGAGCAGACAAAGAAUGUUCACUUCAAUACUAUAAUGCUUUUGUGUGAUCCUGUACAGCCUAUGGUACGUGGUGAAUGUGGUGUGCACUUAUCAGGAUGUUGGAUCAGCAACUACGAAAGUCAC